Molecule: long non-coding RNA, 1533 nt
Organism: Toxorhynchites rutilus septentrionalis
Lineage: Eukaryota; Metazoa; Arthropoda; Insecta; Diptera; Culicidae
Exons: 3
Source: RefSeq, a predicted model, not a curated record
AUUCUCAUGAAAUGGUCAAAAAUAAAACCAAAAGAGUAUGCAUCAAUGGGUAUCAGUUUAUUGCGAUGGUCGAGAAAAGUGAAUUACAGAGCACUUGGUGGUUUGCAAGUUGGUUGCCAAACCCAGUCGAACCAGUUGAUACAAGAUUGAGUGGAAGGAUCGAACAUUCCUUCCGUUGGACAACGAACCAGUGUGGCUGCGGUUCCAGCUGAGGUGCAUUGCCAGUAAGCAGUGGGGUCCCAAUUGUUUCUCCAUCUUCCUUGAGCUGCCUCUGCGGCGUUACAGGCCGGACGUCCAUCGGUAUCAUCACGAACACACUGGCUACUUGCAACGGCAAUCAAACAAGCCAAGAUGAGCACUAUAAUAAAUUUAAGAAAACUUGCAAAUUACAGUUCCCUCAAAGUAUAUAUUCUAUAACUUACGUUUCAUUGUGAGUUCGAAAAAGUUAUUUCUUGGUUACAGUGAAUGUAGUGAAUUCCGAAACUGAAUGACCGAAAUUGGAAUGAAACUGAAGUUUUAUACCUUUCAUUCUAACCCUGAGAAGAUCGAAAUCGCGAUAACGUUUUAAUUACAACUGCUUAAAUUUCGUACUUCUGCGGAAUCUCGUUAUCGCAACAAAUGUGCAGAAAAAGACGCCGCUUAAACCAAUUUGAACGAUGACACAUAACUUUUUGUAUGUUUGCUUGAAAAUUUCCGAAAAGUGCAUCCAGUUUCCUGGUAUUUAUUUAUCGCCAAACAAGUGCAAACGAUGUCAAUGUCAAUCGAAGUUUCGAUCCCACUUGAUUAAUUUCUUAUCUUUGAAAUGUAACAUUUUUCUCCUACUGCACAAAACUAAUUUUAUCAUGUUCAUUAUUUCGAAGGAAACAUGGUAAAAGGACCAAGCUUUUAUAAUUUUAAUUACGGUGAACUUCUACAAGGUCUGAACUGGAGCUAACACUCCUGACAACUGUAAACUUUUCUCAACUCCCGAACUACAAAUCAUUUUCCUGAAAGAAUGCUUCCACCCAAUAAACUCCUUGUGCAUCUACUUUCGACUAGGAGGGACAAUAUCUUGAGGAGCCGCCUUAGCUACUGGUUGAAGAAUAUGUUAACGCUCGCAGACUUCAAACAGCAAUUGAAAGUGAAUUUGAUUGCACCAACAUGUUCCUCCGUGAUUAUUAUUAUCGUAUGGAUCGGUAACGAGAGCCAAUCAACCAAAUAUCAUGGUACAAAUGACUAGCAAUCCUGAAUUGAGAAAGCUAGCAACUCCAGCAUUUCGAAUGUGAAUCAUCAAAGUAUUCGAAAUAGUGGUUCAGCUAUAGAGUUGGCUCCAUAGACUCAGAGGCGCAAUGAUGAGGAUGAGAGAGGAGCAGCAUCGGCAUAUAGCAGAGUUUUUUUUUCAAUUUAGUCAAUUUUCGCAGAACACGGGGCAACAGUGUUCGCGCCUUUCAUGAAAAAAUCUUAUAACAUUUUAUAACAUUGGUCAACAUUUGUCCCCUUCGGAGCAUGGGUAGCGCAGCAAUAAAAACUAUGCUAGCGUGAAUGUAAAUAAAA